RNAcentral lists this ribosomal RNA (407 nucleotides) under uncultured bacterium. Its description in RNAcentral is "partial 16S ribosomal RNA". It matches the Rfam family "Bacterial small subunit ribosomal RNA", at positions 29 to 526 of the family's 1533-position model. The record is from RNAcentral.
AUUGAACGCUGGCGGCAGGCCUAACACAUGCAAGUCGAGCGGAGCGGCGGACGGGUGAGUAAUGCCUAGGAAUCUGCCUGGGAGUGGGGGAUAACGUCAGGAAACGGGCGCUAAUACCGCAUACUAUCAGAUGAGCCUGGGGGGGAUUAGCUAGUGGGUGGGGUAAAGGCCCACCAAGGCGACGAUCCGUAACUGGUCUGAGAGGAUGAGCAGUCACACUGGAACUGAGACACGGUCCAGACUCCUACGGGAGGCAGCAGUGGGGAAUAUUGGACAAUGGGCGAAAGCCUGAUGCAGCCAUGCCGCGUGUGUGAAGAAGGUCUUCGGAUUGUAAAGCACUUUAAGUUGGGAGGCGUUACCCACAGAAGAAGCACCGGCUAACUACGUGCCAGCAGCCGCGGUAAUUC